AACCUGCCUGGUAGCGGGGGAUAACUAUUGGAAACGAUAGCUAAUACCGCAUAACAACAGUUGUUGCAUGACAGCUGUUUGAAAGGGGCAAUUGCUCCACUACCAGAUGGACCUGCGUUGUAUUAGCUAGUUGGUGAGGUAACGGCUCACCAAGGCGACGAUACAUAGCCGACCUGAGAGGGUGAUCGGCCACACUGGGACUGAGACACGGCCCAG
This 216-nucleotide ribosomal RNA is filed under the name uncultured Streptococcaceae bacterium. Its description in RNAcentral is "partial 16S ribosomal RNA". It matches the Rfam family "Bacterial small subunit ribosomal RNA", at positions 123 to 334 of the family's 1533-position model. Lineage: Bacteria; Bacillati; Bacillota; Bacilli; Lactobacillales; Streptococcaceae. The record is from RNAcentral.